GGCGUAUAAGAGAGUUUUAUGUUAGCUACAGUUUAAUUUCUCAAAAGGCAAAACAAUUUCAUCGAGGAUAUCUUCGCACGAUCUGGAAAAAUAAAUAACAAGAGAAUAUCAUCUAAUAAUGUUUCUCGUCGCCAUCCAACGAGGGAUGUCCAGUCUUUUUGCCUUCCGUUGCGUUCCCUUUUGUUUUCGGGCGACUUUCGCCGUUGGUGGAGUUACUGGCGGCGUGGACCUGGACUGUUGCGUUGGCUUCCGUGAUCGCUUGAGUCUGUCGGAGUUGUCGCUUUUCGUGUUCUUUUUUUCCCCGCUCCUGGCAGCUGGAUAGUUUCAUUGUUACCGGCUAUGCCGUGGUUUGGUGGUUAUGUUGGUAACUGGUUCAAUGGCUAUGUUGGUGGUGGGCGUGCCAUGGCGGAAUUGCGCUGGGCAGUUGGGUUUUUUUAUUAGAGGGAAAUGAGAAUUGCCAGGGGAGAUGGGUUGCGGUGGCGGUCCGUGGGUUCUGGCUUUAUUGAGUACAGAGGCAUUAAUCUUCUAUUACAAAGAAAAAAAAUAGCGACCGCGACCUGGAGGAAGGGAGAGACAGAAGGAGAUUAAAAUUAUCGACCCUGACCGACUAUGGAAAGGAGCAGGGCAUGGGAAUCGAAGCAUUCGAAGCCAUUCUUAUGGAUGAUGAAUUUAGAGGUGCUCCUCCCUUUCUUUCUUUUUGAUUUUUUCAAAGUAAACAAACCAAUGAUAUGCAAUGGUAGAAAUUCAUUCUAGCGAGAGUGGCCUUAAUACUUCUAACCAUCGCUUCAAUAUAUCAAUGUCUCCACAGGUUAGGCUGGCUGGCUGUUGAUCAUGGUGCUGUGUUUUUUCUGUUCCCCGGAGUUUGGUCAUGUUCUUAUG
Molecule: long non-coding RNA, 879 nt
Organism: Populus nigra (black poplar)
Lineage: Eukaryota; Viridiplantae; Streptophyta; Magnoliopsida; Malpighiales; Salicaceae
Exons: 2
Source: RefSeq, a predicted model, not a curated record